RNAcentral lists this long non-coding RNA (1090 nucleotides) under Malus domestica (apple). RNAcentral describes it as "long non-coding RNA (MDOM_LNC020340)". Lineage: Eukaryota; Viridiplantae; Streptophyta; Magnoliopsida; Rosales; Rosaceae. The record is from RNAcentral.
CAGGCAUAUUGUUCUCCCGCCAUUUAUUAUUCCACUGAAUCAUAAAUAAUUUUUUUUUAUAAACAGGGACCCUGGUGGUUAGGUAGGUCCCAGUAAGUGUGCCCCAUCUCUAAGAAAGAAAAUUACGAGAUUAAGGCUAGCCCGAAGAUGAUGAAGGUUGUUAAGACGACAACGGAGAUUAAUGAUGCCUUCUCCAAACUCGCAUGCAGGACAUGGUUUCGGAGCCAUUACUGAAUUUGAAGAGUGAAGAAGGUAGCUGGAGCGAGAUCGAAGAAAAUUUGAAAAUUCGAGGAAAUGUGUUAGCGCUAGGGAUUAAGCUUGUUGAAGAUAAUGGCCGAAGAGGUUAAAGUGGAAGUUAUAUAGAUGAGCAGGUAGUUAACGUUGGAAGUCGUGGGUUAGUGCAAAGGUUUAGUUAAAAUGGCUCAGAUAAAAGGCGCUAAUACCCAGCUUCGGACAACAUGUAAUUUUAAUCAUUAUCAAUGUCUUGAUUAGCAGACAUAAUAAUUAUUAAAGGGGGCACUGUUUGGGUGGAUAUUUAAUAUUGGGCUCAAGCCAAGUGAAGGCCCAGGUGUCUAUAAAUCAGAGAAGAAUUGGGUUAGGAAAGAUGGCAGCCCAAGAUGAAUUUAAAACCAUUUUCUGGCAAUUAAUAGGCAAUAAGCCUAUGUGAGGUGACAAACGGUAAAGGACAGCUCACCCUCAGCGAAAAAGUACUUUUUCAUGGCAUGGGUAGGUAAUUAACAAAAGCAGAUGAUGACUCACCAUGCUCUAGAAGCCAUCACCAAAAAGGAAGGCUUGGACAAUCGGGCUAGGAAAGUCCAUAAAAGCAAGGAAGGGCAUAAGCAUAAACUCUCUCUCAACCAAUCAAUCAAGCAACUAUCAGUACACUUAAACUAGAAAAAACUUUAGUUUGUUCAUCCCUUGUCCUUUUCAAGUCUCAGGUCCACCAUAGAAAGCUUUCUUUUGUCUGAUUUUAGAAGCUCUACUACCCUUCAUUUUGUUGUAGUAUCAAAUCUCUUUAGUAAACCUUGUUUAUAUUUCAUUUUCCAAAGAUCCCAGUCAUUGUAAAAUACAAGGAAAGGUGUCCGCAAGA